Long non-coding RNA from Zonotrichia leucophrys gambelii, 1185 nucleotides. RefSeq lists it as uncharacterized. The transcript is spliced from 3 exons. The record is from RefSeq and is a predicted model, not a curated record. NCBI's taxonomy places the organism in Eukaryota, Metazoa, Chordata, Aves, Passeriformes, Passerellidae.
GUGGGGCAAGAUCAGCAACAGGAGAUGAAAAUCUCAGAUCUGAGGAAGAGUUUUACUGGGUGUUGUGAAAACUCCCUGGGACAAAGCACACUCCUCUCCAGGGACAUUGUCCUGUAGCAAGCUGAAAAAUCCAACAGAAAGACAAAAAUCAAUGGCCAGUGAAAGAAAACAAAUAGCACUUAACAGCUGACGGCUUUCAUGGGCAUCCUGUCCCACCUCCAUCUCCAAAGAUCCCUCUGCAGAGCCGUGGGUGCUGUGAUGGGACACAGAGCUCCCUGCAGGAGCCCUGGCCUCACAUUGCCACCCCAUCAAUGGAACAGAUGAUGUGACCUCAGAAAGCACAGCACAACCAGCACAACUGCUGAAAAGGAAACAACUCUGCAGGUGCUGAGCUUCUGAUGGACACCAGAUGUCACCUAACAAAUGUACCCAUCCACAGGAGCUCCAGGAGGAAGCUGCUGCAGCUUUGCAAUGUCCUCAGCCCCAUCACAACCAGCAGACUGAACUGACUGAUGCAGGGAUGAGUUCAUUCAACACCCAGAGAAAAGGUGGCAGCUGCACGAGGGGACAGGGACAGAACUGGUUGUGACCAUGGGUCAGCAGCUGAGGAACCAGUCCUGCAAUGUGGAUCAGGGAGAGAGAAAUGGCAAUUGUUUCUCACAGUGAGAAUUGUGAGAAUUUUAGGAGUUGUAGGAAUGUGAUACUUGUUAGUACAAACAAUCUACAGGUAGCGUUUUUCCACUUUGUUUUCCUCAAGGACAGGAUGUGAAAAAAAUGUUUUUUAUUAACUAGAGGAAGCUGCUGCAGCUUUGCAAUCUCCUUCUCAGCCCCACAGGUUGAGCUGGCUGCUGAUGCAGGGGUGAGUUCAUUCAACACCCAGAGCAAGGUGGCAGCUGCACAAGGGGACAGGGACAGAGGUGACCGGGACAUGCCCUGGUUGUGAGCACACGGGUCAGCAGCUGAGGAACCAGUCCUGCAAUGUGAUGCCAGCCUGGUCAGGGGCAGAGAAAUGACAAUUGUUGCUCACAGCGAGAAUUGUGAGAAUUUUAGGAGUUGUAGGAAUGUGAUAACUUGUUAAUAUAAACAAUCUACAGUUUGAAUUUUUCCACUUUGUUUUCCUGUUCUUCUCAAGGACAGUUUGUGGAAAUGUUUUUUAUUAACUAGCCAAUCAAGUAGAAUAUGUCA